Molecule: microRNA precursor, 69 nt
Filed under: Tursiops truncatus (common bottlenose dolphin)
Lineage: Eukaryota; Metazoa; Chordata; Mammalia; Artiodactyla; Delphinidae
Description: miRNA (ENSTTRG00000024827.1)
Source: RNAcentral
UUGGCCAAAAAGUUUGUUCCGGUUUUUCCAUAAGCUCUUAUGAAAAAUCCCGAGCAAAGUUUUUUGCCA